RNAcentral lists this ribosomal RNA (560 nucleotides) under Bacillus sp. BA3. Its description in RNAcentral is "bacterial SSU rRNA". It matches the Rfam family "Bacterial small subunit ribosomal RNA", at positions 1 to 547 of the family's 1533-position model. The record is from RNAcentral. Lineage: Bacteria; Bacillati; Bacillota; Bacilli; Caryophanales; Bacillaceae.
UCGGAGAGUUUGAUCCUGGCUCAGGACGAACGCUGGCGGCGUGCCUAAUACAUGCAAGUCGAGCGAAUCGAUGGGAGCUUGCUCCCUGAGAUUAGCGGCGGACGGGUGAGUAACACGUGGGCAACCUGCCUAUAAGACUGGGAUAACUUCGGGAAACCGGAGCUAAUACCGGAUACGUUCUUUUCUCGCAUGAGAGAAGAUGGAAAGACGGUUUACGCUGUCACUUAUAGAUGGGCCCGCGGCGCAUUAGCUAGUUGGUGRGGUAAUGGCUCACCAAGGCGACGAUGCGUAGCCGACCUGAGAGGGUGAUCGGCCACACUGGGACUGAGACACGGCCCAGACUCCUACGGGAGGCAGCAGUAGGGAAUCUUCCGCAAUGGACGAAAGUCUGACGGAGCAACGCCGCGUGAACGAAGAAGGCCUUCGGGUCGUAAAGUUCUGUUGUUAGGGAAGAACAAGUACCAGAGUAACUGCUGGUACCUUGACGGUACCUAACCAGAAAGCCACGGCUAACUACGUGCCAGCAGCCGCGGUAAUACGUAGGUGGCAAGCGUUGUCCG